GCAAACUUGGUCAUUUAGAGGAAGUAAAAGUCGUAACAAGGUUUCCGUAGGUGAACCUGCGGAAGGAUCAUUAUUGAUUUCAGAUCGUCAUGUUUUGUGCUGGCCGGCUUUGGCAUGUGCACAUUCAUGACUUUCAUCCAACCCCUCUUGUGAACCUUUGACCUUGUGCUUUGCUUUGGCAGGCAGAAGGAUUUAUUUACACACACUGUAAUGGAAUGAAAGUAUCUUGCUGUGUGCUCACAAGCACAAAUGUACAACUUUCAACAACGGAUCUCUUGGCUCUCGCAUCGAUGAAGAACGCAGC
This 304-nucleotide unclassified non-coding RNA is filed under the name uncultured fungus. RNAcentral describes it as "partial contains small subunit ribosomal RNA, internal transcribed spacer 1, and 5.8S ribosomal RNA". The stretch from base 1 to 73 matches the Rfam family "Eukaryotic small subunit ribosomal RNA", at positions 1759 to 1831 of the family's 1831-position model. Lineage: Eukaryota; Fungi. The record is from RNAcentral.